UUUUUAUUUUUUUAUUUCUUUUUAAGUUUUUUAUUCCGGCGUACGCGUGUUGCUAGGGGGUUUUGGUUUGGUCGAGGGACUGCAGUGCAGCAUCCUAGUUCUUCUGGUAAUUAGGGUGGAGCUCCUGUUUGGGUGUUCUACAAUAGAAGCGUGAACGUUCGAGUAGCAAUGCCCUCAGUCCUCCCUAGGUUGCUUCCGUGAGAGGAGUCCUCACCUGCGGGGAUAUUCUUAAGAAGGUAUGUAAUGGA
RNAcentral lists this long non-coding RNA (248 nucleotides) under Physcomitrium patens. Its description in RNAcentral is "long non-coding RNA (PPAT_LNC004349)". Lineage: Eukaryota; Viridiplantae; Streptophyta; Bryopsida; Funariales; Funariaceae. The record is from RNAcentral.